GUCCAGACUCCUACGGGAGGCAGCAGUGGGGGAUAUUGCACAAUGGAGGAAACUCUGAUGCAGCGACGCCGCGUGAGGGAAGACGGUCUUCGGAUUGUAAACCUCUGUCUUUGGGGAAGAAAAUGACGGUACCCAAAGAGGAAGCUCCGACUAACUACGUGCCAGCAGCCGCGGUAAUACGGAGGGUGCGAGCGUUAAUCGGAAUCACUGGGCGUAAAGCGCGCGUAGGCGGCUUUUCAAGUCAGGGGUGAAAUCCCACGGCCCAACCGUGGAACUGCCUUUGAAACUGUAGAGCUUGAGUGUCGGAGAGGGUGGCGGAAUUCCAGGUGUAGGAGUGAAAUCCGUAGAUAUCUGGAGGAACACCGGUGGCGAAGGCGGCCACCUGGACGACAACUGACGCUGAGGUGCGAAAGCGUGGGUAGCAAACAGGAUUAGAUACCCUAGUA
Molecule: ribosomal RNA, 446 nt
Filed under: uncultured bacterium
Lineage: Bacteria
Description: bacterial SSU rRNA
Rfam family: Bacterial small subunit ribosomal RNA
Source: RNAcentral